UACGGAGGAUGCAAGCGUUAUCCGGAAUUACUGGGCGUAAAGGGUGCGUAGGUGGUUUCUUAAGUCAGAGGUGAAAGGCUACGGCUCAACCGUAGUAAGCCUUUGAAACUGGGAAACUUGAGUGCAGGAGAGGAGAGUGGAAUUCCUAGUGUAGCGGUGAAAUGCGUAGAUAUUAGGAGGAACACCAGUUGCGAAGGCGGCUCUCUGGACUGUAACUGACACUGAGGCACGAAAGCGUGGGGAGCAAACAGGAUUAGAUACCCGCGUAGUCCCUGA
RNAcentral lists this ribosomal RNA (276 nucleotides) under uncultured prokaryote. RNAcentral's name for it is "partial 16S ribosomal RNA". It matches the Rfam family "Bacterial small subunit ribosomal RNA", at positions 524 to 800 of the family's 1533-position model. The record is from RNAcentral.